CCUCAGCCUAAAUAACAGUUGAUGCCUCAUUCCAGCUCAGUAACCAGUCUCAACCGGCUCAAACCGGCCUUGGUCAGAUAGAUUGGCAGCCGAGCCGCCGCCUCUCUUCCUCCCAUGAAUUUUCUCUGCCCCACCCAUAGAGAAACAACACUGAGAAGAAGCUUAGUUCUAUUUUUAUGUAGGGAUUAAGUGCUAGCCUUGAACUAGUCCUCCUAAUACUGCCUCAACAAUAGGCAGAACUGCAAAAUCUUCCUCUGCUCCCCUAAUCAAGGGGAAUAAAGUCAGGAUUUCCUCCCACCCCAGUACUUUUAUGGUAGGGGGAUGCACUGCCUCCUGUCUUUUCCCUCCAAAACCUUUGGAGGAGGAAUAUUGUAGUGCCCGUCCUUUCAUCAGCAUGAGUGCUCCCCCACAAUAAUUUCUGACCAUAGUAGGAAGAAUGACUCUCCUUUACCCCAGAUUACACUUUGGGGGGGGCAUGGUUAAUGGUGUUUUCUGGCCCCUCUCUGAAAUAUAGGUAAUAACUUUAUGUACAAGUCCUAUUAGUUUACUCAUUCUACCAGAACCCAGAAUGCAGGAGGAGAUACUGCAUCAUGAUCUGUAGCUCUCCCUUUACAACACUAAAGCACCUCGCACACCGCAACAAAAGCCUAAUUUCUUCCUUUAAGGUCUACUGAAAGAACUUACUAGGUCACAUAAUACAUGUAUGUUACUAACAAGAUGCAAGGCUGCCUAUCUUCUCCCUUACAAGACAACCAGAGGGGAAGGGGUAAAAUGUCAUGUUAUUCCUUCUGCUCUUUUCAAAAUGUUUCGCAACAAGGGGGACCACAGUGUAUUCCUUUCCCCUUAAUAACACGCUUCUUUCAGGUGGUGGCAGGAAAUAAAGUACUUACUAUUCCUGCUCAAGGAAUCCAACAAGGAAUUCUCACUUCUCCUCCCUGGUUCAGUAAGAUUAAUAGCUGUCUGUCCCCUUUCUUCAACAAAAAGAUCAUCCACUAUUUUACAUUUUGUUUCAAAAUAAUCCGGAGCCCAGGAGGUUAUUUACACAAUCUCUUAUGCUGAGAUAACAACCUUGUAAUUUCUUUCAAUCUUAGAUCUGUUUAUACUAUCAAAGGGUACAGCUGAGGUUGAAGUAGGUUUAAAAGCAAAGGAACAGCCUCUGGGUCUUUCUCCUCUCUUGCCCUCAUGAAAACAGGUACACUUAGUACCUGUAUAUCUGAUGAGUGGGUAGAAUUUCCCUCCUCUUAGCGGGUGUCUGUGUUGUGCUCCCUAGGGUUGUUAAAUCGACAUGUGAGACAGUAAUCCUGGUAUGCUGAGGUGAAUCUGUUGGCAUGGGAAAACAAUAUCAAAUUAGCAAUAUUUGUAACAACCCUGGGGCAUACAAUCAUGUAAAUGAGCCCCAAGCUACAUGGCAGAGGCCCUCACAGACUAAAGAGGUGGAGAAAUAGUAUUUACCUCUGACUGGAUUACCAAAGUGUCACUACUCUUUCAAGCAAUUUAUACUCACAGCACCCCACUGAGCUCUCUUCAGCUGGACCCUAUGUGGGGGAGGAGGUCCCUUUUGAGAAGCAGCAGUUAUGUUGUCUGUCUGACUCAUCCGUAUCCUGGCUGCCAGUUUUCACGGUACUGUGGAAGAACCAAGCAGCUGCAGUUUCUUGUGAUCUGACUCCAGGCUCUGCUACACUUCCUUGGAGGCUCCACAAGCCUUCUUAUCAGAAGGUCUCAGGUGGCUAGUUUUGGAAGUCUCUGAGAACAGGAGACCAGUCAGAUUAUUAGAUGCAUGAAUGGAUUACUGAAAGAAGACAGCAAAAUUGCAGAAAAACGGAAAUAUUUAUUUGCAUCAGUCUUCACUGGAGAAGAUGCUGGACAGAUGGGAUGCCCAUUCCUGAGCUUUUUUGGGGAAUGGCAUCUGAAGUAAAUCAAAUAGAUGUAACAGAUGAUGUUCUAAGGCUAAUUGACAAUUUAUGUAUUUACCAUAUGUUUAUACCACCUGAUAUGACAUCUCUAGGUGGUGUACAGAGUUAACACAACAAUGUAAAACAGAAUAAGAACAGUUAAAAUUUGCAAGACAAACACAAUCUCACAAAAUAAAAACAGAUUACAUAGAUUAAAAUUCAUUUCAGGUUUAAAACUGUCAAGAAGUUAACCAGUCACUGGUCCAGAUGGUAUAAAUCUUAAACAAUUCAAGUGUAAAUUGUUAAUCUUUUAAAAAAUAAAUAUAUAUAGCUUGUCACUAAAGUUGGCCUCCUUACCUAGGGUCUGGAAUUUAGCCAACAGAACACUAAAUAGAACCUGGGGGGAACUUGGAAAUCAUGGGCUUGUUGCCUUAAUGUCUUUCAUUGAUAGACUGGUAGAAGACAUUAUUAAACAUCUAGAAGAACAAGACUUGCUGAGGAAGAAUCAGCAUAGCUUCUGCAAAGGGGCCUGGCUCACAAAUCUUUUGGAGUCUGUGUAAGCAAGCUUUUAGAUCUGGUAGAUGUUGUAUACUUUGACUUCCAAUAAGACAGUCUCUUACCUAAGGCCCCUGAAUCAACUUGGCCAUUUUGGAACAGGAAAACAGCUAUUCUAAUGGUUUGGUAACUGGUUAAAAUCAGUAAGCAGAGGGCAGGAAUAAAUUGACUAUUUUCACAAUGGAGGGGUGUUUCCCAAGUAAUAUGUAUCAGGGCUGGUGCUAUUUAAUCUUUUCAUAAAUAAUCUGGAGUAGGAACAAGAUAGUCUAGUUUCUGGGUGAUAACAAAUCUUCAGGAUGAUAAAAACCUAAACAAACUGCAGAAUGCCAAAAGGACCUGUACAAACGGGGUGGUUGAACAGCAAAAUGGGAGUACUUCUGGAUUCACAGCUCUCCCUGGUUUCUCAGGUUGAGGCGGUGUCCAGGGGUGCUUUCUAUCAGCUCCGGCUGAUACUCCGGCUGCACCCAUUUCUUGAGAUCAGUGACCUCAGAACAGUGGUACAUCUGUUGGUAACCUCCACACUUGACUUCUGUAAUGCACUCUAUGUGGGGCUGCUUUUGUAAGUAGUCCGGAAACUUCAGUUGGUUCAGAAUGUGGCAGCUAGAUUGGUCUCUGGGUCAUCUUGGAGAGACCACAAUACUCCUUUACUGAUGGAGCUCCACUGGCUGCCAAUAAGUUUCCUGACAAAAUACAAAGUGCUAGUUAUAAUUUACAAAGCUCUAAAUGGCUUAGGCCCUGGGUAUUUAAGAGAGUGCCUUCUUCAGUACGAGCCCCACUGCCCAUUGAGGUCAUUUGAGGAGGUCCGUCUCCAGUUACUUCCAACUCAUUUGGUGACUACACAGAGAUGGGCCUUCUUGGUCGCCCCUGCCAUGGGAUUGUGGAAUGUGCUCCCUGCUGAGAUAUGUGCCUCCCCAUCUCUGGCAAUUUUCAAAAAACACCUGAAAACCCAUCUUUUCACCCAAGCUUUCUCAGCUUCUUAAAUUUUUAAGGUUUUAAUCUCUGGUUUAUUUUUAAAUUUUUAAAUUGUUUUAAGUUUUAAAAAAUGUUUUUAACUUGUUUUAUGCUAUUGUUAACUGCCCAGAGAUGAAAGAUUGGGGUGGUGUACAAAUUUGAUAGAUAAAUAAUAAAAUAAAUAAAAUGGCAAAUGAUGUUCAGUGUAAGUAAAUAUAAGAAGAUGCACAUUGUAGCAAAACUCAGAUUGACAUAUACACUGAUGAAGACUAAACUGGUAGCCACUAGCUAGAAAAGGAUCUUGUGGUUGUGAUAGAUAGCUCAGUGAAAACAUAAUGCAGUAUGUGGUUAUAAUUUUAAAAUGUUUUAGAACAUAAGAAGAGUCUUGCUGGAUCAGACCAAAGAUCCAUCUAGUCAGUGGCAUAGGUUCAGAGAUGUAAGUUUUGGAUGGUAUAAAAAUAUGUUAAUAAAUAAAAAUAAAUAAAAUAGGUAGCUCACUGGCAGCCAUGGGACAGGCUCUUACGAGUGGCCCCCUUCCCUAUAGUAAUUUGUUUGUGUGUGUGUGUGUGUGUGUGCAAGAGUGUGCUGGCCAUAUGACAUCAUACACAGAGUGUGUGGCCACAAAUGGGAAGAUGGGCCAUUCUGCUGCUUCCCGUCAGUGCUUUGUUUUUGCACCAUUCAGAUUGGGUACAUUCUUUCUCUGCACUGAAUGGAAGCAUCAGAAGAGCAGUGUGGCCCAUCUUGCCACUAGUGGCUUUGGGCGUGAUGAAAGCAGGGGACAGGCAAGCAUCUGGUGGCCCUCUAAAGAUCUGGGGGAAAGCAGGGGGAGAGCCUCUGGUGGCCCCCGAAGUGCUUGGAGAGACGGCAGCCUGAGGACACUCAUCCCUCCAUGCUCCAUGAAGCCACAUGCUUGCAUCUAGUCCAGCAUCCAGUUUCGCAUAGUGGCCAAUUGGAUGCAGGGCAUGAAGGCAAUAGCCCUAUCCUCUUGUUGUUGCCCAGCAACUGGCAUUUAGUGGUAAUAAGACAUGGAAGUUCUAUUUAGCCAUCAUGUCUAAUAGCUCCUUUCUAUAUAGUUGUUACAACGUAGAGAUUUUUUGCUAAUAUAAAGCACUGAUAAAUAUCUUAAUUUUUAGGAGGUUAGAAUUUAUGUAUGAAACAAAAUUUUCAUGGAACUAGAAUAUACAUAAAGAAAAUCUGUUGUUCCAUUGAAAGAAUUAAUGGACCCAAAUGUCUGCCAAAAUGAGAUGUGCAAUUUGUGUGUAAUUUCCCCCAUGAUUGUUUUGUGCAGUCAUUUUGCUUUCAGCUAAACCAUCAUAUCUCACAGCAUCUAUGUAGAUCAACUGACCAGUGAGCAGAAAUGGGAGAAAAGCAAGUGAGAUAAACUGUCACAACCUCCAUCUCCACCAGCUUCUGCUACUCUGUAGUUGAGACUGGGCCUCUCCUCUCCUCACAACAGUGAUUCAGUACCAGCUAAAAGAUCAAGACAGAGAUUGGAGAGAAUGGAAAUUUGUCAGAGCAUCAAGACUAGUAAAGAGCUCAUCAUUCCAACAGGACUGUUAAUUCUCACAUUGCAUGGAACACCCAAUGGAGACAGAAGCAGUGAGAGAAAUGCCUUGCCUGUUCCAAGCUGAAGGGGCCCAACUGGGGUGCUUAACUUGAGUCUUCAAAAAAAUAAUAGACAUGACACUGGCCAACUGCCCUGAAAGCAGGAGAGAGAAGGAAGCAAAGGAGGCACUCUGUUAUUAUAAUCCCUACCAAAACUGUUGCUGCUCUAUUAACUGAUGGCUAGUCCCCUUCCAUGCACAACAGGAUAUUAAAAGACCAGAUAUGUGGUGGGGUUUUCUGUUUUUGUUUUUUGUGUGUGGAUUUCUAGGGGGUGAUAUUUCUUUUCAGCAGUGCCAUUUUAUCUGUAGUCUAAGAAUCGCUGGGUGAGAUAGGGAAUAGAACCAGAAAAAGUAUGUUGUGAGAGGGCUAUGUCUUGUAAGAAAAUGAGUAACAGGAUAAAUAAAAUUUCAAUAUGUUGAAAGGAA
Molecule: long non-coding RNA, 5428 nt
Organism: Hemicordylus capensis (graceful crag lizard)
Lineage: Eukaryota; Metazoa; Chordata; Lepidosauria; Squamata; Cordylidae
Exons: 3
Source: RefSeq, a predicted model, not a curated record